Molecule: ribosomal RNA, 253 nt
Filed under: uncultured bacterium
Lineage: Bacteria
Description: partial 16S ribosomal RNA
Rfam family: Bacterial small subunit ribosomal RNA
Source: RNAcentral
UACGUAGGGUGCGAGCGUUGUCCGGAAUUAUUGGGCGGAAAGGGCUCGUAGGCGGUUUGUCGCGUCGGGAGUGAAAACCUUGGGCUUAACUCAGGGCUUGCUUUCGAUACGGGCAGACUAGAGGUAUGCAGGGGAGAACGGAAUUCCUGGUGUAGCGGUGAAAUGCGCAGAUAUCAGGAGGAACACCGGUGGCGAAGGCGGUUCUCUGGGCAUGAUCUGACGCUGAGGAGCGAAAGUGUGGGGAGCGAACAGG